RNAcentral lists this ribosomal RNA (245 nucleotides) under uncultured bacterium. RNAcentral describes it as "partial 16S ribosomal RNA". It matches the Rfam family "Bacterial small subunit ribosomal RNA", at positions 524 to 768 of the family's 1533-position model. The record is from RNAcentral.
UACGUAGGAGGCUAACGUUAUCCGGAUUUACUGGGCGUAAAGAGGGCGCGGGCGGUUUUGUAAGUCGGAUGUGAAAUCUCUCCACUUAAUGGGGAGCCUUCGUUUGAUACUACAAGACUUGAGGGCAGCAGAGGGAAGUGGAACUCCAGGUGUAGCGGUGAAAUGCGUAGAUAUCUGGAAGAACACCAGUGGCGAAAGCGACUUCCUGGGCUGUUCCUGACGCUGAGGUCCGAAAGUGUGGGGAG